This 234-nucleotide unclassified non-coding RNA is filed under the name Hevea brasiliensis (rubber tree). The record is from RNAcentral. Lineage: Eukaryota; Viridiplantae; Streptophyta; Magnoliopsida; Malpighiales; Euphorbiaceae.
AACUGUCAUUGCGGCUGUUCAGAAGGCGCGCUGCAUUCUCGGCCGUGACAUCGGGUCCAGUUCGCAGGACCGCGAGGCAACGAUCAGCAGCCUGCGAUCCGUGCUCGAUGACGAUCAGGUCGUACGUGCGCUGGAGCGGAUCGGCCAGCGAAGCCGCCCUACGCCGGCGAAGAUUGUUGAAAGUCCUUGGAGUUAAGUCAUUCGGACCGAACGCACAGCGGAGACCACGAUGAA